CCGAGUGGCGGACGGGUGAGUAACGCGUGGGUAACCUGCCUCAUACAGGGGGAUAACGGUUAGAAAUGACUGCUAAUACCGCAUAAGCGCACAGUACCGCAUGGUACGUUGUGAAAAACUCCGGUGGUAUGAGAUGGACCCGCGUCUGAUUAGCUAGUUGGUGGGGUAACGGCCCACCAAGGCGACGAUCAGUAGCCGACCUGAGAGGGUGACCGGCCACAUUGGGACUGAGACACGGCCCAG
RNAcentral lists this ribosomal RNA (243 nucleotides) under uncultured bacterium. Its description in RNAcentral is "partial 16S ribosomal RNA". It matches the Rfam family "Bacterial small subunit ribosomal RNA", at positions 91 to 334 of the family's 1533-position model. The record is from RNAcentral.